Molecule: unclassified non-coding RNA, 7934 nt
Filed under: Hevea brasiliensis (rubber tree)
Lineage: Eukaryota; Viridiplantae; Streptophyta; Magnoliopsida; Malpighiales; Euphorbiaceae
Source: RNAcentral
UCUCAAUCAGUGAAAAUUCCACUCGGUGUUUUAUUAAUUUUCUUUGCAAUCUAAUUAGCCGAAUAAUUAAACAAAAAAAAAUGAUUUGCACAAGAUUGACUCACAAAAUUUUGACUGAAUUUACAUUUGAAAGUGAAUUAUAUUUGCCUCAGUUAGGCUUCUCAAUAAUACUUCUCUCCCAUUCGAAGACAUUAGUAUUUCCUAUAACUUGACAUGACAAAACUUCUGAAUCUAAUGGUUUCUUUCCAUGAACAUUUGACAUUAUCACCAUCAGAGAUUGACAAGCAUUAUGCUCAUCCAUCUUCUCUAUAUCAGUCAUUUCUAAUGAACGAUCCCUCCAAGGUUGGUAGAAUGACCAUCUCCAUUCAGGAUUGGCUUCAGUGGGGCAACGAACUUUUGACAACAGUGAUACCAUAGCAGUUCCAUUAUCAUGCAUGAAAUCUGAAUGUUUGAAAGGACCACAAAGACAUAGUGCAGAAACAACUGAAGAAAGCACUCUGCUAUUUGAACCAAUAAGCUGUUGAAGGAAAAUUAUUGUCGCAGCUAAUACCUCUUCACAGUCAAAUUUACAGUUGUUCCUUCCUCCGUGUGCCAUUUCUACAUAUUCCAGAAAGGACUGCAACGAUUUUGAGCUUGAUUUUUCUGAAUAUUUGGAAUUUACAUCAUUAAGCUUCCAAUAAAGCUUCCCAAGAAUGACAGCAGCAACAAGCCAACGUAAGAGUUUUGAGAUCAAAGUCUCAUCGGAUGGUGUUGCCUCUGAGAUGAUUAUCAGACUGACUUUAUGGUGAAAUAUUUUCAGCGAAUCAGACUUCAAGGCAGUAGAAAGUGCCCACAUAAGGAAACCUGAAAGCUUUUCCUUAUUCAUGUAAAAAAUGUCAACUGGAGGUGUGCUCAUAAGUAUGGUUUGAAGCCCAAACUCUGCAUUUGAACUAGAUCUUGAAGUAUCACAUGCAUCUAGAGUCUGAUAUAUUCGAAAUAAACCCUCCAUCGAUAAAGUAAAAUGAGGUUGAUAAAUCUUCCUUUUCUGCGAUAUCUUCAAUGUUAACGUCAUUAUCUGUAGAAUUGAAUCAAUCAAUGAAACAUUUUCCUUUAUCAACUCCAAGCCACCAACUAGGAGUUUGUACAGAUUAGAUGAAAGUUCCAUUAGCUGCUCAAGAGCACAGUCUUGCAACCACUGGUUGAUGUCUCUGAAUGAAAUAAUAUCAGAUGCAACCUUUACGGCCACAACCAACUGCAGUGUAGAAAAACUGUUCUUUUCAUCUAACCGCCCACUGGAGAUCGAGAUUAUAUAUGAUAACCAUGGAAACAGGCCACAGUCUUCAACUAGAUGAUAAGUCAUUCUAUGCAGUUUGACUGACUUCUUCACUACCUGAAGUAUCAGUUCCUUUGACUCAUUAUCUGCAAGAGGUGUAGCAUAAAAACUCAGUAGGGUCUCAAGAAUGGAAUUAUUGAUAAAUAUUUCAGCAUCAUCAUUUAAAUUCAGUCCAGCACAUGCAAGACGAAGAAUCCACAGCCUCUCUGCUCUGAAGUUAACAGAAUUACUCUGGAACAAAGUAUGAAACAAUGGUAUGCACUUCAUGUUCACCUUGGAAGAAUGCAUCAAAUGCUUACUUAAGGUUGUAUAAUGAUCAUUUGAAGGAUCCAACAGUAUCAAAGAAGACUCUGCAGCAAAAAGUGCUAGGAUGGAAGGAAUUUUCUGCCAUGGCUCUUUGAUUCCAUUUUGCAUGUAUGUCAACAGAAGACGAAGCCGCAUUAUAUCCUUUUUCUUUUGGCAUCCCUCUAAUGCAUUCUUAUACCUCCCAAGAGAUUCAUAACCCAACUUUCUCAUCCCAACAUCAGGUGAAGAAAUGCUCACAAAUGCAACAGCAAGCAAGCCCAAACCAGCAAAUUCCACAGGUUCAAUAUAACCCAUGGACAGAAUAUGAAUUGAGAAACGCAGGAUGAAAAUAGGAUCAUAUCGUUGUAUUUUGUCAACAGGAGGAGAAUAUUUCACAUGCAUAGUCUUCAGAUUCUCUGGUUCAAACCUACUUAACAAUAAUCCCCCAUCACUUGCAAUUCUGUCAUAGGGAAAAUGAAGAACUGUUGCCAAACACUUCUUGGGAUCAAUAGGAAGGAUUUCCCUAAAUUGACUUCUUCUAUGUUCUUCAAAUGCUUCUGUAUCAGUCAUAAUAUUGGAAGAUAGAUCCUGGUCCAAAGCUCGUUCAUUUCUUAUUUUCAAAGCAGCACUUCCCCACAGGUAAUCCAUUUCAGAAAGAUCUUCAGAGACUGACUUAUCGAUAGAUUCAAUCUCUUGCAUUAGAUUGUAUAUCUCCAAGUCAAUUUCACUCAGAGUUGCACCGUAAGAAGACAAAAGCAAUAAAUGCAGUUCUUUAAGAUUUAUUCCACUUUCUUUUCCAGAAGAACCACCAGACAACUCAGGCUUCAACUGAAUGAGUGUCCUAAGUAACUUAACAAUUUCCAACUGCUUCAAAUGAGGCUUAGUUGUUUGCAGAUCAUUCUUGCUGUUUGGAUGGGUGAUGUCAAGUGAUCUCAGAAUGCUGGGCAUAGGCUUAAAAAGAGCACCACUCUGAGAACUAUGAGAUUCUGUAAAAGAGCAAAUGGUAGACUCAAACUGAGAAUGGGCAAGAAGCAGCCGAAUAUACAGAGCAGAUGAAAAUUUUCCCUCUGACAGCAAAGUUAGGAUACUACGAAGAACAUCCAAUGUUGUGGGAUCCUCAAACCUAAAGAGAAGAGAUGAUCUCAUCAAUUGUUCAAGAAAAGGAAUGGCUUGCAAAUGGACAAGAUCACCACGCAUCUCUGUGGUUAAUUCAAGAACGGUUCUCAAAAUGAACAAUUCCAAGUAUCUGAACAACUGUAAACAACCGGAGCUCUUUUCUCCUCUGGAACCAUUGGAGACUGACGGGAAUUUCUUAACCAAACAUCGCCAAGUACUGACCAAAAUCUUUAUAAACAGCAUUCUUGAUUGACCCUCUUUAUCAGACAACAUGUCCAAUGAGAUCGAUUUUGAGUUCCCAUCUGCUUCUUUUGGAGACAGUAUGUGAUUAUCGACUGGAAAUAACAUCAUUCGGCACAAUGAAAUUUUUGCAACAACCCUGUUGAUAAGGUUUAGUGACUGGCUGAGUGAAUAAAAUUCCGUUUCAUCAACAUCACAGUCUAGCAGCUGAUCAUGUGCAUCAGAACAGGUGAGAAUGGAACUGAACAUCUUCAAUCUCUCCUUCAUUUUCAUGCCUCCACUGAAGGCAAAGUGGCAUUGUAACAUCUUAAUUGCCUUUCCAAGAAGGCUAGCAUCCACCAGAUUGACAAGUUCUUCAAUAGAUGAGGGGAGGAACUCAUCAUAAUUUUCCUGAAAUACAUAUCCAGAUACAAAGCUCUUCCAAUUAUGGAAGCCGCUUAAUAGUAUUUUUGAAUAAAAUGAAGGUAUGCUAGUAAACUGCUUGUAGAACUGCUUUUCAAAUUUCAUGAAAACUGUAGUCAAGUAUGAAAAUGCGGACGGCAACAGCAACAUGAAGUCCUCAUCUGAAAGCGAUGUUUCACAGGCCUCUUCCACCUUGUUGCCCUUAAGAUGGACUUUUUCAUUCAAAAUUUCUAAGAAUAAGUACCCAAAGACUGACAGAUGCAGGGGGCUUAUGUCAACAAGAAGAAACAACAACUUAGCUUUUGUCUUGCUUGCGCCAUAAAUGCAGUGAGAAAGAAUUUCUACAGGAGUGCUAAUAAUAACCCUUGAUAACACCAAGCUUAAGGCAUCGAGUAAAUCACACUGCAUGUACUUCUGCCUGUAGACAGCACUGACAGCUUCCAGCAAACAACUAUAUGCAAAAUCCACUUUCAAAUUGGUGGCAAACUUGCAUAUUUUAAAAUAGAUUUCCUCAAUAAGGUUAAUAUCCAAUAUCUUUUUUUCCAUUUCCCACAAGGUAUAAAACAGUGCUCUUGCUGUUACAGGCCGCUGCAAAUAAAUAGAUAACAUUUUGAAAGCAUCACCAGCAAUACAAAAUGCAAUAGAAAAAGCAAAUGUCAUACAGGAUUUCUGAUUAGUCAAACCAUUCAAUUCAAAUCUAUCAAAUAUCCAAAGCACUAAAUCAAAAAGUUCAAACGGAGAAGUAAACUGCAUUAAAGCAUGCAAAGCAUAAAAUGGAAGGAGAAGGGGCAAAUAAUCUUCAGUCCUAAUGCACAGGUCAAACUUGUCCUUCAGUUUCAGAUAUAUCUUCUGUAUCGGGAUUUUGAAAGCCUUCACAAGUUGCUUGCUCACACCAUCUUCAACUUUGAGUAGACAAUGUUUCCCAGUAAAAGAAGAUAAUAAGUAGUCAAAAGUUGUUGUCAACAUAUCCAAGACAUGAUGAUCUAUUGGAUGAAUUCUCUGCUGAGAAAAACUAAGAAAAGCCUGUAAAUUGUCCCUAGAGUUUCCUUCUGAAAAAUCAUCGUUAGCCAAAUUCUGAUCACAGCUCAAAGGAUAUGUCAAAGAUGCUUUCACGGCAGGAUGACAAAAGAUGAUUUCAGCCACUUCUUGUAUCAUUUUGGCCAAAGGAGGAUCCUCUGAAUCAGGCUUAAAAGCCGAUAGUUGAGCAAGCAUGUGCUUCAAAAGAACAUAGCAUAUCUCAGCAAAUUCUCUCAAUAUCGGCAAUGGUUUUAUUCUAUAUGACAAUUGUAUCUGAUAAAACCAAAAUAGAAGAAGGCGCAAGUAGGAAACUACAAAUUCACUUGUGCACUCAGAUAGUUUAGCCAUAAGUACAUCUUUUAUCUUUGAAGACUCUGAUAAACAAGGACCAUCACUGCUUAUUAUUGCAGGAAAAAGCACAUGAAAAGGUGCCUGCCUCAGAAAGAGACCAAAUGCAACAGCAGCUGCAAAUUCACUGGCAUCAAAAUCCACAUCAAGUAUUGUUUCUUGAGCAAAAACAUCAUCGUUUACACCUUGAGGAUCAAUCAUAGAAACAGCCUUUUCUAGACCAGGAAAGAACACUUGCGGCCAUAACUUCAAAACACCAGCAAGAAAAUUUUGCUUGUGAAAAAAUACUGAGGAUAAGAAUGGCAGAGGAAUAUGAAGAUGCUGAGAAAUAGUCAUAACUGUAGGAAAGUUCAUUAGUAGCCCAUCUGAAGUUGUACACAUAAUUGCAGAAAAAAAGUCUUUCAUUAUUACAGCUAUUUCCCCACUAUGCCCACUUUCUAAGAUUUUUCUUACUUCACCAAGUGCUCUCACAAAAGAACUAUCAACAGGCACAUCUUUUUCAUCAAUGAGAAAAAAACAGAAGGCCUUUUGAUGCAAUAUACUCUCUGAAAAGAGCAAUAAAUUUUUCAAUGGCUGCCACUCCACAGAACAUUGAUCCUGAAGUCCCUCAGACAAAACUGAUCUAAUCAAAGCAGCUAACAACCUUGCAUCUACCUGAGUUUGCAAUAGAUAUUUCAAUGUAUUGCACACAUACACAGAUAUCAUUGACUUCUCCAGCAAUGAAAAGGUUCCAGAUUCAGAACUGAGUAACCUCAUACACUUCUGUAAGACACAUAUGACGAGAGGACUGAAUUCAGGCGAAACAUCUUUAAAUUCAUUUAAAUGGUAAGUAUGGUUCCUAACUGCAUCCCAGUAUCUAAAUAAAUUAUUCCCAAUGGUAGAAAUGGCAUCACAUAAAAAUGAGAUGGCAGCUGUUGACAAGUUCUGCAGCACUUCUGUUCCAAUGAUCUCAACAGAUAAUUUAACUACACUGUAACCCGGUAAAAAUAAGAUCCAUGCAACUAUUUCAUUUAAGUUUCUGUCAAAUGCACCAGUACUUGACAUGGCUGCCUGUGUCAACUUGUAUGCUUGAGCCUUUAUGCCACCACUUGGUGAAAAGAUUAGCAAAUUAAGAAAUGGCUGCAGAUGCUUAUACAUCAGUGGUGGAGUUCUGACGGUAAUUUCACUCCCUGGAGACCAUCUAAUGUACUCAACUAGAAGAGGCAACAGGGAGUAAAGGAUAUUAAAUGGCAAUUCUGAAGGAUUGUUGUGAAGAUUCAUAAAAAAAUCAAAUGAUCCCUCCAAAGCAGUGGGCAUUAUCAGAAGAUAUAUUUUUAGAGCAUCAAGAAGCUUAGACUGGAAGAAUAUCUCUGCAUCCUUUAAUGUAGUGUCAGGCACAGAACAUAAGUCAGAACCCCACAAUUCUGAUAUAACAUUCAUAAAAUCCAUUGUACCAUCCGAUGCAUGUGGUAUUUGUGAUUCCACAACAUUUUCAUCAUCCUCAGCCAAUGCAAUGUCCGGAAGUGAAUUUAUCCCACCUAUAAUAAUAUCAGUAUCCUCAAUUGUAGCUUUUCUUUUCAAUUUCUUUCUUCUCUUGCAACAAAGAAGAGAAAUUUCUUUAUCUGCUGUUCUUUUCAAGCAUGACUUGUCAGACCUGGCAAGGCUACUUAAAGGAGAAAGUAGAGAGAGCAAAACUUGUGGAUCAGGAAGCAGAGUUCGAAUUUCAUUCCAGAUUUCCUGCUUAAGAACUGCCCACUUUCGUAUCCUUUGUUUCCUAGUACAAGACAGGCUUGUAGCCCUUAAGAAUGAAUCCAACAACUUCAGAGCCUCCAAAAGAAGUCUUAAAGUUCCAUUCUUCACAAGAAAAUCUGAGUGAAGUAAUCCCUUAUUUAUUACCGAUCGGCUCAAUGGACGAGAAGAAAUAAUAGUCAUGAUAUUCUGCACAUGCACACUAUUACAACAAGGUGGAUCAUUAGACUGAAAAUCAAUGAAACCAAAAGGAUUGCCAACAGCCAUUGAGGAAACCAAAUUUGCUGCCAGAGAAACAGAAGAAAACCAGCUAGGAGAUGCAUAAUCUUCAAGGUUGUAGGGGAACUCCUCCAUAUAUGCUGAGCCAAAGGACAGACUGCCCCUAACAAUAGCUAAAAGCAAGUCUCUGUGAUUGUCGAUCUCUGUUGCCUUUAGCUUCUUCAUGAGCUCCAAAAGUCUCUUUGGAUUACCCCUUAAUGGAGUUGGGCGUCUCUUGAAAUCCGGCAUCAAUCCAUUGCAAGGAUCAGUACAAACCAUAAGUAGCACAUUGUGUGCCAACUCUGCAGAGGGUCCAUUUCGCAUUCCUGAAAUGCCAACUAACUGUUCCAAAACAACACUCCCAAAGAGAACGCUUCUAAGAGCUGGGGAAACCAAUGACUGUUCAGUGAGAAUCUUAUCCCGCAAUGUGGACAACACAAAAAUAACAGUCUCAUUGUCAUCAUUCUCAAGCCCACGAAGAACACCAGAGAACAUUUCUCUCUGCUGUAGGAUCCACCUCAGUAAUCCUGGCUUCCCCACCUCCAAAAACGACAUUGCAAAUCCAACAAAAGCCCUUCUAGUGGAGUGCUUCCUUUUCUUGUUAUUCUGCCUGCGUUUAUACUCUGCAAGUUUGGAGAAUGCCUGAAGUUUGAAAUCAAACUUCUUAGCAACCUCAGAAGCCAAACCUGACCCACGCCUAACAAUUGAAGCCAUUAGCAAAAGAGCUGCAUUUUGGCACUUUCCUUCUUUACUAUUCAACUCCUUAUAAACAACUUCAAACUUUUCCUCAAUAAAAGAUCGAGCAAACUUAUCAAGAAACACACGUAUAGCAAUUCUCUCUUUAUCAUUUGGCUUGUAUUUUCCAUCAGGAUGACUAAGAAUCACAGAUAUUAAUGAUAAAAUAUAAGACAUUCCAGGUUUCCCCUCUCGAAGCUUCAAAGCUCCCACAAGUUCUGAGAAAUUUGAAGUUGACUGUACAUAUAGUCGGAGCAAUUCACCACCAGAAUUACCUUUGAGCAGCUUAACAAACUCCUUUGUAGCAUCGGAACAUAACUUAAUCUCAAAUGAAUUGAUCUUAUGUAAGAGUUCCCUAAGUUUAGCUUCAUAGGUCGCUUUAAAAACUAGAUUUGUAGCUUCCCUCCCCUCCACUUCAUUAUCCUCCUCUUCCUUCAAAACUAGGUCGUCGUCGGAGGCUGAAGUCUGGUCAUCCAUCUCCAUUGAAGAGAAC